Felis catus (domestic cat) is the source of this 806-nucleotide long non-coding RNA. RefSeq lists it as uncharacterized. The record is from RefSeq and is a predicted model, not a curated record. NCBI's taxonomy places the organism in Eukaryota, Metazoa, Chordata, Mammalia, Carnivora, Felidae. The transcript has 3 exons.
GGCUGUGGAACAUCGGCCUGGGCUGGCUCCAGGGCCGGGCAGUGACACAGAGCGCGGGGCCUGCCUCUGAGGCGCUCGGUCUGCGGCUCACUGCACUGCACCCCAAGAGGCUCCAUCUGAGAGGCUGGAAAAAAAAGUGGCUGCGGCCAUGGCUCCAAGCCACAGGGGAGCAAGGCCUUUCAAUUCACUUCGUGGAACUGCAUCGUCCUCCCGCUGAAAUCAAACAAAUGCGAAGUUGAACCAAGGGAAACUGAGGCACUGCUAGCCUGAGUCCGGAGCAGACUCCAAAUCUGGAGGGCACGCGAAAGAACUCGUGGCUUUAACGUCUGCAGAACCCCGACUCACAACAAACGGCUUCACUUAUGGGUUUAGGAGGGAAAAUCCCCCCCCAAAAAGCGUAAGGAGAUCCAACAAGCAGCAUGCUGGAUGACUCAUACACCGGGACCAGGCAGAAAUUUCGUCGCAGGCAGCUUCGGGCCGUUCACCCUCACUCUCGUAGGACGCUCCUUCACGUGAACGUAAUACGGUUUCUGUGCCCGUGCCGCUGUGGACGGACGUCUGGACGAUUUCUUACAAUGCACCUCUGUGAACGGUUCUUCUGUGAGGGCUCAGGGUGUGCGUCCUGAAGCCCCGUCCUCUGGGGGAUUUUCUGGGUCACCGGGCACGUACCCACUCAAUGUGACAUCGUCACCUUCCCCAUCCUGAAGUGACCCAUUUACUGUCCUCUACGAUCUUCUAAGACUUGUCCGAUUUUACCUUUCCACUAAGAGCUGAAAUAAACCCGUAAUUAAUUUUUCUGAACAGUG